GCGAACGCUGGCGGCAGGCCUAACACAUGCACGUCGAACGAACUCUUCGGAGUUAAUGGCGGACGGGUGAGUAACACGUGGGAACGUGCCUUUAGGUUCGGAAUAACUCAGGGAAACUUGUGCUAAUACCGAAUGUGCCCUUCGGGGGAAAGAUUUAUCGCCUUUAGAGCGGCCCGCGUCUGAUUAGCUAGUUGGUGAGGUAAAGGCUCACCAAGGCGACGAUCAGUAGCUGGUCUGAGAGGAUGAUCAGCCACAUUGGGACUGAGACACGGCCCAAACUCCUACGGGAGGCAGCAGUGGGGAAUCUUGCGCAAUGGGCGAAAGCCUGACGCAGCCAUGCCGCGUGAAUGAUGAAGGUCUUAGGAUUGUAAAAUUCUUUCACCGGGGACGAUAAUGACGGUACCCGGAGAAGAAGCCCCGGCUAACUUCGUG
RNAcentral lists this ribosomal RNA (432 nucleotides) under uncultured bacterium. Its description in RNAcentral is "partial 16S ribosomal RNA". It matches the Rfam family "Bacterial small subunit ribosomal RNA", at positions 29 to 507 of the family's 1533-position model. The record is from RNAcentral.